CAUUUGCCAAGGAUGUUUUCAUUGAUCAAGAACGAAGGAAGGGGGAUCGAAAACGAUCAGAUACCGUUGUAGUCUCUUCUGUAAACUAUGCCAAUUGGGGAUUAGCUCAGGAUUUUUAAUGACUGAGUUAGCACCCGAAGAGAAAUCUUUAAAUGAGGUUCGGGGGGGAGUAUGGUCGCAAGGCUGGAACUUAAAGAAAUUGACGGAAGG
RNAcentral lists this ribosomal RNA (210 nucleotides) under Pseudo-nitzschia pungens. RNAcentral describes it as "partial Eukaryotic small subunit ribosomal RNA". It matches the Rfam family "Eukaryotic small subunit ribosomal RNA", at positions 952 to 1163 of the family's 1831-position model. Lineage: Eukaryota; Bacillariophyta; Bacillariophyceae; Bacillariales; Bacillariaceae. The record is from RNAcentral.